GACGAACGCUGGCGGCGUGCUUAACACAUGCAGGUCGAACGGAAAGGCCCUGCUUUUGUGGGGUGCUCGAGUGGCGAACGGGUGAGUAACACGUGAGUAACCUGCCCUUGACUUUGGGAUAACUUCAGGAAACUGGGGCUAAUACCGGAUAGGAGCUCCUGCUGCAUGGUGGGGGUCGGAAAGUUUCGGCGGUUGGGGAUGGACUCGCGGCUUAUCAGCUUGUUGGUGGGGUAGUGGCUUACCAAGGCUUUGACGGGUAGCCGGCCUGAGAGGGUGACCGGCCACAUUGGGACUGAGAUACGGCCCAGACUCCUACGGGAGGCAGCAGUGGGGAAUAUUGCACAAUGGGCGGAAGCCUGAUGCAGCAACGCCGCGUGCGGGAUGACGGCCUUCGGGUUGUAAACCGCUUUCGCCUGUGACGAAGCGUGAGUGACGGUAAUGGGUAAAGAAGCACCGGCUAACUACGUG
Molecule: ribosomal RNA, 468 nt
Filed under: uncultured bacterium
Lineage: Bacteria
Description: partial 16S ribosomal RNA
Rfam family: Bacterial small subunit ribosomal RNA
Source: RNAcentral